AUAGGCACACAUUAGACUAUUCACUCCAGUGAUGACAAAAAAGGUGGCAGGUUGAGCACAUGUAAGAUUUAGUUAAGAUAUGAGUUUUAAGGUUUUUAUCACCAGUGUCCCCUCAGACAGUAACAAUUUUUCUGUGAUGUGGUCUCUCCCAGAUCAAACUUUCCAGAUGUCUGUGCAAAACUGUAUGUAACCAUCCAGCCAGAGAGCUCUUCUUUUCUGUGACAUAAGUUUGCCUUUCAGGCGUGUCACAAUCACUUAACCAUCACUCACACCCACUUUGCAUGGACACCUAUAUCAAAUUGAUUGUUGUUUACAAGGCCUUGGAACUAGACUAGUUCCUCAUGGCCCUUACUUCACUGUUAUGUAUCACACAAUGACAAGACAUUGGAAAAUAAUUCCAAAAAAAUUUGAUAAGAAAACUCUAACAUUCAAAAAGCCUCAAGAGCCAACAAAUAAAUCUCAAGUGGUAGAAAUGAAGGCAUCAGAAAAGGAAUAUAUUCCAGAAAGCCAGAGAGUUUACUGUCAUUACUGAAAUUGUGACACACACCACUGCACUUUCUCAUAAUGGUAACGCUCUGCUAUUAAGGAAUCAAGAGUUUCACUAUAAGGGAGAAAAGAUGCAAUAUGUGAUCAAAGAAGGUAAAGAAGAGCUAAGCAAUAUUAAAUGCAAACUGGAAAUAUUAGUAGGGGCUCGAGAUUUUUUUAUAUAUGUUUUCCAGCUCUACUCUCUGGAUGGAUGUAGAAACAAUGACAUCUCUGUAACAAUGAGCACAUUUUAUGUCCAGACCUUGUAUUCUAAACAUCAUUCUCCACUGAAAGAAACCAGAGAAACUUGGAGAAAUGCUUAUUCCAGGUCUAAGUCAGGGGAAAUAUAAAGUAAAUCUGAAAAAUCUUGUUGCACUAGAAAGAAAUAAAAGUGCUCAAAGACUUGUGGGGUUGUAUUAGUUAGCAAUUGCUAUAAAACAAACUACUCCCAAACUUAGAGGCUUAAAAUAAUAAAUACUUAUAUGUCCCAGUUCUCUGGGUCAGAAAUAUGAGGGUGGCUUAGCUGGGCCUCUGGCUCAGGAUCUCUCCCAAGGCUGCAGGAAAGUCAUUAGCCAGGCUGCACCCUCUCAGGCUCAUCUGGGAGAGGAUUCAAUUUU
RNAcentral lists this long non-coding RNA (1142 nucleotides) under Equus caballus (horse). Its description in RNAcentral is "lncRNA (ENSECAG00000051050.1)". Lineage: Eukaryota; Metazoa; Chordata; Mammalia; Perissodactyla; Equidae. The record is from RNAcentral.